RNAcentral lists this ribosomal RNA (253 nucleotides) under Phocaeicola plebeius DSM 17135. RNAcentral describes it as "partial 16S ribosomal RNA". It matches the Rfam family "Bacterial small subunit ribosomal RNA", at positions 524 to 776 of the family's 1533-position model. Lineage: Bacteria; Pseudomonadati; Bacteroidota; Bacteroidia; Bacteroidales; Bacteroidaceae. The record is from RNAcentral.
UACGGAGGAUGCGAGUGUUAUCCGGAUUUAUUGGGUUUAAAGGGAGCGCAGACGGGUCGUUAAGUCAGCUGUGAAAGUUUGGGGCUCAACCUUAAAAUUGCAGUUGAUACUGGCGUCCUUGAGUGCGGUUGAGGUGUGCGGAAUUCGUGGUGUAGCGGUGAAAUGCUUAGAUAUCACGAAGAACUCCGAUUGCGAAGGCAGCACACUAAGCCGUAACUGACGUUCAUGCUCGAAAGUGUGGGUAUCAAACAGG